GUAGAAUAUGGACAUCUAUCUGUCUAGAUUCCUGGGAAAAUAAGGAAAAGGAAUAACCACUUCAUGCUCAAGAAAAUGAAGUGAUCAGCUAGAGAGGGAAGGAAGCCAGGAAAAAUAUCUGAAGGUGUCAGAGUUGGCAUGAAGACUGAUUCCAGGUUCUCCAUCGACAGAGACAUGAAUAAGAAGGUUCAAGAACUGAAAAUACCUAUCUACAAAUAUCUCCAAAGACACUGAAAUAUGAGAUGACACCUUUUCACAAUCUCCUGUGUGCUGAGUGAAAACAUCUUUGCCUGGAAGGGAGGAAAGUAGAGGUAGACCAUGUAUGAAAUACGGAGACUACAGAGAGAAGCUAAAUCAGAUUCCUCAUUUCCAGGUGUUUGUUUUGCCACACUCUUUUAUGGAGUUUACCAUAAGCUCUGUACACCUUUGCUAACCUGCUGUCUAUUUCUGCAUCAAUCUUACUGUCCGAGGAGAUGAUGCUUCCCAGUCAAGGGAUGCUAAUGAGGCAACUUCACUUUGCACCAUGAUCCUGACACACUGUGUGCCAACACCAGCGAGGAGAUGGACCGACACAGGGACUGAGCUGCCUUUCCUCAGGGCUAAGUAAUUAUUACCAAAACUACUAAAAAAGCACGGAUCUUCCUGCUGAAUAAUGACAGAAGUGAGUUGCAACAGGCAUCAGAUCUAUGCAAUUCCAGUAAUUAGGUAUUUGUGAGUAUUUGCACUGGACUAAUUGCAGAAAGCUAAAACCUGGUGAUCUGAUUGCUGGGGAGGAGAAAGGUUGCUGAGAUGAACUGAAAUCUGGUAAGAUUUUACAGGCAUGGGAACUGCUCCAUCAAAUCAGACCCGUUGCCUGUUUACUUUGAUGAUGGCCAAAACUCUGUGGGUAUCAGAGGCAGGUGCAGUCUGUUCGGCAAUUGGCAGCAAUGCGAUAUGGCAACUUCUUCCUGAGGAAGUCAGUCUUUUAACUGCUCCUCUCAGGACCCAAAAAACAAAGGUUGUCAUGAAAAAAAAAAAUAUAGCUUAUGGGAGUUUCAAUUUCGAACUGGCUAAAACAAAUUUUAAAUGUAACAAAGUUACACUUGAAAUAAAACUCCGGAUUUGAAAAUUAUGUAUAUUUGGCAAGCUCUGGUCCAAACACCCAAAAUGUAAUAAUAUAUGGACAAAAAGCCAAGAAAAACAUGUCUUUUUCUGCCUAUGUGGAUUUGGAUAAAAUUUCUAGAAGGAAAUUAUAAGAGUAAUAACCUCUCCUGAUGACAAUUGCUUAUUCUUGAAGUUCACAGGGGAACUUUCUAGUGAUGGGUCUCAACUUUCUGGUGGUCUCAAACUCCUCAGAGCCUGCUGCUGCCUACUGCAGCUUGCCUCCUCCCUGUGCUGCACCUCUGUGUCUCCUUCUCCCCUGUGCCUUUGAUGCUCUUUCCUGUUGGAAGAGAAAUUGUUUCCCUGUUUUGCUGUGCAGCUUUCUCCUUGUGCCACUGUUGGAGUCAACAAAAUUGUUCCUAUUUAAAAAAAAAUAAGUCUAUUAUAUAGCAGUGACGUAUCCAGCCUGUGCUGCUAACAGAUGAAAUAUCUUCUGACACAGCUAUGUAACGUCACUUUUCACACAUAUUUUCCCUUCAGGCAUUGUGAAAACUGCUUCUAACCUUUGACCCUGUUCUGGGAAGCUCAUGUGUGACCCAGGUAUAAUUAUGGCCUUCACAGCCAUUAGUGCUGGGAUCUGUGUUGGGACACCUGCGAGCUGGAAUGUGUCUCACCUGUUGAAAUAAAUAUUUUAUGGCUGCAUGAAAGGGACUGUGCCUAAUCCUGGAAUUACUGACAUCUGUAUAUCAUUUGAAUGGUAAAUUACAGCUGGGACAUGCUAACCCCAAAGUGUGAGUAAGAACUGCUCCUAAGUGAUUGGAAACUUCUUGGCACUAUAUAGUUGCUUUAUAGUAAUUAGCUUGGUCUUCAUUCUCUUUUGAUAGUUUUGUAAAUUUUGUGCUAUUUUCUUAGCACAAGACUUGAUUGUUCAAUCAGCAGAAGAAUGGUCUUUCUGGUAAAAAUUAGAUUUCAACUAAACCUCAUUUUGUGUUAAUUGCCCUUUCUUAUUGACAGCUUCCUCUCCUGCUCCCCUUCCGCCCCCUCCCAGUAUAAGCAGAGGAAUGAUGGAAACCUGGAAUUAACAUUUCCAUGGAGAUGGUGUAAUUUCCUGAGUUGCUACAAAAUAACUUCAAUUUCAAAACUCUUCUAACUGCUAAUUUGAGGAAACGGGUAAUAAAUAACACAAGUACAUUAAUGGCUAAAAUAUAUUAUCUCAUUUCAGAUAUCUUAGGCCCAGUUGUCUAAUAAUGCAUUCUGUGAUCGCCUAACAAGAGACUGAGCACAAGAAAUACAACAGUGCAACUCCAAAUUUGUGCUAUUUAUGUCUGUUGCCAAUAAAUAAUAUUAGAGGAACUGUUUAUACAUCUGUUAAAAGCUACUCUCCUUGAAAACAAAGAUGAAUAAUGACUUUAUCAUUUGGAAGACGGUGGUAAAACUCUAUAGAGGUUAGAAACUGACUUUAUUUCUCAAAACUGAUGGUUUUCAGGCCUUAUAUCCAUGUCAUGGCUGUCCAAGGAAAAGUAAAAUUAGAGGUGUAUUUACACAAGGUCUGAUAAUUUAAAUAACAAUCUAUUGUUAUAUCUAUAUCUAUGAUUCACAUGCAGCAGUGAAUUUGGUCUUUGACUGCCAUAUUUUGUAUUGUUCAGUUGGUGUAACAGUAAUUAUAAGAUAGUUUUAGUCACCAUUGGAAAUGUGUUUUAAUAAUUCAAUGCUGCUUACUGGGAGCAAGAUAAAAAUAUCAGGACAUGGAGCAGAUGAAUGAGAUUUUCACUGGCUUCAUUAAGACUGUCAAAUGCUUAACUGAGAAAUAUUAAAGAAAUUCAGGAAACUUUUAACAAAUCAUCUUCCUUCUUGGAGAUGCCUAAACUGGAGAGUUACAAGUUUGGAAAGCUUCUGAAAUUUCUCAAGAAAUGAUAUUUUGUAAGUGUAAACUCGAAUUUGAGGAACAGCAGUUAGAAGAAAUAGAAAUGAAAAGCUAUUUUUAGAAGAUGAUGGUUGGAUUUUAUGAUCUUAAAAGGAUUUUUCCAAUCUAGACAAUUCUAUGAUUCUCUAAAAUAAGUCUUGCUGAAAUCUGUAGGAUGUAUUUCCAUAAAGUGCUGGGAGGUUAUAAAGACAAUAGUUGGCUCUAUCUCCAGUGAUACAAGAUUAUAUUAUACACAGGUCAAAAACAUUGUUUCUUCUUCUGCUACUUAUUCUAUUCAGUAUAUAUGUUCUACUUUACUGACCCUCAACUAUUUCUAAGUGGUUUUUAAUAAAUUAUAUUGCAGGAGACAGCUUCAAAUAGUCUUUGACUCCUAACUGAAAAAUCUGUACUGUCUUUAGAAUGGGAGAAAAAAUGUUCUAGAAGUGUGAAUUAUCCGUAUUAUUUCACUAAAUUUGGAUAUUUGGUUCACAGUUCCUCCUUCUUUUUCUUCAGUUCUUUUGUUGAGGUUUUUUUUCCUUAUGCUUCCCAAUAUUGUCUUUUAAGCUCCCAAAUAUAUGUAUCACUUCAGAAUAUGUGUCAUUUAAGGACAGCAGUGAUUUUGCCUCUGCCCAGAAAAAUCAAUUUUACAUGUGCUUAAUUCUCAUAUUAACUAAGUAUUUGUUUAUUCUGUAUAUGCCUGUCUAGAAGGGAGAAGACUUAAAUAAAUUCAGUAGGCCUGAAUACUUUGAUGGAGUCUUGAUUUUAGCAUAGAUCUACAUUAUAAAUGUAUGUAUUUUAUCUUUCUAAAACACACCAGAAAUAACUCUGCUGUUUUCCUAGUACUGGUAAUUAUUCUGUGCUUACUUGCUUUUAAUUUCAACAUUUUUUUGGUCUCUCUGGGAAUGAUCACAAACACCAUCAUUUUACACAACUUCUAUAACUAGGAGUCCCUCCCUUCUAUAUUGUAAGUUUAAAUAUUAAUGGUAAACUGUUUAAAAAUCAGCUUCUGGUUGUUUCUAGGAGGAUCCCUUAGUGACAUAUGGAGUUGUUACGAUUGGUUUGGAUAUAGGAAAAUAGUUUAAUUAGAAUAUUCUUUCUUAAUCUGAGAGAUGAACCUCAGAAUAGUCUUUGAGGACUUCCCAGGAAUUAAAUUUUCAUAGUCAGCAUUCAACUUGAAUUUCCCCUUCCAGGAGACAUUAAAGGAAGCAGUGAACUUAAAAUGCAUAUAAAGUGACCCAGAGCUUAGUAACUUAGCAGGAUAAUUCUGUUCUAAUUUAAAAGAAAACAACAGUCCAACUUCUUCAUCUUCUUGAAGCAGCAACAAAAUUCUAAAUCUAUUAGCAUCCUCAAAUACUCCGAAACUUUAAUGAAAGUUAUAGUAAUGAAUAAGUCAACCAAAUAGCACCAAUUGUGAACGCAAGCCUUAAUAAUGUGAAAGAAAUGGUACAACCAAACCUGAUCACGAGUCAUGCAUCCAUUGGCUCAUUCAUCCUAAAAAAACGCUGGGUUUAAAAUCAAAAAAUAUGGAUAAUGCAAACCAUCAGUGUGGUUUGUUCUGUGGGAGUCUGGCUAUCCCUGCUGCUCCAUUUCCACUGAGGGCCCAGUUUACACUCACUGAAAUUGUGAUUGGAAUGAGUUUCCGUAUAAAAUCUAUCACGACACAGACAUAUACACAUGUAUUUAUGUGUGUGUAUAUACAUCUAUCUCUCUAUAGGAAUGCAAAUAUUUUAAUCUUGAUCACUCAGGUGUGCAGUUCAGCAAGCCUGCCCACACGCUGAAGUUCUGUGUCUUUAUUUGCCAGACAGGGAACCAAAGAUUGAAAGGAGAUGUUAAAAAUUGAAUGGCCUAUGUGAUUUUUGUUUUAUGCCAGACUGGAUCUGAAAAAGCAUCUGUUUUAUAUAAAAUAUUAAGAGGCUAAAUGGCAACAGUGGCCAAGUGUCUGAAAAGCUUGUUUUAUUUCAAAUAGCCAGGAGCGACAUCUUUCCUCCCACUUCUACCCAUUAUUUCAUUUUCAAAACUGGUUCUGAAAAUAAUUAGUGUCAAGGUCCAAAGUGAUAGAAUUUUAUAUCACUGUUGUGUCACCUCAUUUUUUUUAUUACCUUAACAUGAAUUCGAGUAUACAUAUUUUAGUGUAUUACAUAUCAAACAUGAAAAACAGAUAAUGCUACAAUAUUCCAUUUAAAUGGCAAUGUAUUUUAAUUAUUCAUUAUCAGAUUUUAGAAGUAGACAGGUCAUACAUGAUUUGUUACUGCAGCCUGUUAUCAGCUUGAUGAAGAGAAGGUGCAGCACUUUUUUUAAAGUAAUUAUUCUCCUAAUGGAUGUAUUUGUCCUGAAUGAGACAAUUCUUCCUCUGUGUCAAACAUUUUCAGAAUUAUAACUCUUAUCUUAAUUUGAGGGGAAAAAAAAAUUUACAUACCAGAUGAAAAUUCCUUCACUUUCCUUAACAAGUAAGUUUUAUAAGUAGCCUGAUGAAAAAGUCUGUUGGGGAUGUAUCCUCCAAAGAUUGUGCUUAGAAGCCUUUUCUUCAUGAAAAGUGCAGGACAAUCGGAUGGGUUUGUUCAGCUAUAAUUAUACAAUCUAAAGGUUUGUCUGAAAAAGAGUCAUUGACUUCAUAUCUUCAGUUGAUUUAUCUUAACUUUAAAUCUUCCCUUGCAGACGUAGCCCAAGAGUAGAAAUGUGUAUGCAAGAAGUUGCUGUACCUGUGACCACGUACGUAGGAUGCAGCAAAGUCUAAUUUUCCUUUUGUGCUGCUGCAGUCCAGCAUAAUAAGGGAACUCAGAAAUAUUUCAUGAUAUGCUGUGAUGUAAGAACUAUUUUUAUACACUGAAUGGAUUUUAAUGUCUUUGGAAGAAAAGUGCUCUCUCUCUGUCUCUCAUGUACACACAAACUCUGCAUGUUAUCAGAAUAAGGUAGGAAAACAUAUUCAGAUCCUUCUGAAUAUUUAAUGAGGACACGAUACUAACGACUCAAAAAAGCAAAAGAGGCUACAUAGGAAUAUUUUACCAUCCUUCUCUAUCCUGAACAAUAUUUCAACUUAAGUGAACUUGUUCUGUAAAUUUUUUUACGUAGCCUUUCUUGUUUUAAAGUGGGCUGAGCAUGAUUUUGUUCAUGUUGGCAUUAAACGCGUGGCUGAGGGUUUUGCGGGAUUUUUUUAUGGUUUUGUUUUGGGUUUGGGCUUUUGUUUUGGUUUGUUUUUUGUUUAAUCUUGAAAGGCAAGUUUCACUCUGACAACAAAUUACAGUUUGGUAUUUAAUUAAGAGUAAAUUCUUCCACCAUUCAAGACAGAGCUUUUGGGGACUUUUUUUGUUUGGUUGGUUGGUUGGUUAAUUGUUGUUGUUUUGGUUGGUUGGGUUUGGGUUUGUUGGGUUUUUUUGUUUGUUUGUUUGGGGUUUUGUUUUAUUGUUUGGGGUUGGUUUUUGUUUUGUUUCAUUUUGUUUUCAUUGGGUAAUGAUACUUCAGUAUUUUCUGAAAAUAGUGCUGCUCUGUAGCCUGGAUCACUAUGUGUUCAUUUUUAUUUUCACAGAGUUUCCUUCUUUUCUUCUGUAUUUGAAAGACAAUAAAGACCUCAGAUACCAUCACAGCUGUUAUGGGUCUCCAGAAUAUCUACAUUUCAGUCUCUAGUAUGGUGAUAUCUAAAAGGUAUUGGCUGGGAACCUGUAUGGCUGUGUCCUCAUCAGUAUGCACCAUGUUGUGAAUAUUAACUUUUUUUUUUCUUUCAGGGAAUAUAUUUUUUGUUUGUUCCCCCUCCCCCUUUUUUUCACUUCCUGGGACUUAAGCUGAUGAAGUGCUGUAAAUCUCACUUUGUGUUUUAAGACACUAAGCCAGACAAAUAAUUUUAACAAGACAAACCAAGUCCGUCACAAAUAAAGAAGGAAAUAAAAAAUAGAAAAAAAAGCCAAACCUUUAGAAGUUCUGCAUUUGCUCUCCUGACCCUUGCAUCAGCAGUGGAGGUCCUGUCUGAGCACCAUCAAGCACUCUCUAAGUCUGUGUUCCAAAGAGCAGAGUGAAGCAUAAAUUCUACGAAGAAAGCAAGCAAGCCUGUGUAACUGACUGAAGAUCCAUCUUGGAAAGCAGUUAAUGCUUCUGGAUGUUUAAGAUGACAAAUCGGUGCUCUUCAUAAAAGAAGCAGUAGUACCUGCCUCGUGAAAGUUACACAACGAAAUCUGCAGGCUGCACAAGAAGAUCGUGCAGUGCCUUGGAUGUAAGCAUCUCUCCUGCUGGCUGGGUAAACAUGGGAUAAACAUGGGAUUGCUGCUGCCUGCCUGCUGUGGCUGUCUCUUCUGCCCCACCAGGCUGCUACAGAGACAGUGCAAUCCACUUUCCAUGUUCAGUUAUUAUACUAGAACCUCAGAUGGACGACUAAUCUGAUGCACAAACAGGCCCCAGGAGUUCAGGCUGUUGAAGGUGAUUUUAUAACACCGACUUAGGACCCAGCUGCAUGGCUAAUGCACUCCAAUGAAGCAGUGAGCUGGUGGAAUUCCUGAAGAGCCACAAUCAACUCCUGCUGAGAGGUUCUGCUUCCCUCUGCUUCCUGGCAUAUGGGGCAUGAAUGUAUAUUGUGGCUUUUAGCCAUAUGAAGUUUUGGGUAUACAGCUCACACAGGUGUCUAUUCACCAAAAGGAGGCUGAUUCUGCAAUUGUGCCAAAAAGCUGCAUCACCAGAACUUCAGUGAAUCUUGAGCUGUUCACUGUUUGCAGGAGCAGAGACUGCCUUCCCAGAUUUUCUCUUCUAUAGAGAAGGAAAACAGCAUUUUCAGGGGACUGUAACCAUAUGCUCAACAUACUGUUUAAGAGGUACCUAUCAUCUGUGAAGAGUCCAAUCUGCUGGAAUCAUAACCUGAAGAAUGAGCUAACACCAGCACCCUCCCACCCUCCCUCUUCUUUUUAUCUGUCUCUGCAUGGGAAGUCUCCUAAAUGGUCAACAUUUCUCAUCUGUGAAACUCACUUUCUGUUUGGCUAUCACCUACCAUGGUCUACCACCUGGUGCUGCUUUUGAUGGAGAUCCUAAAAUUAAAUUACUGCUGCUUUUUUGUGAGAGAGCUUUACAACUUAAGUGCUUAAAACACCCAUAGAUAAUCAGUAGACGAAUAUGAGACAAUUAUUGCUUCGUUCAGAAACAUGAAGAAGUACUUUUAUCAACUCCCACAUGGCAAGGAGCACAGCAAGGUUCAUCUUCCAUGUAUUAAUCCAUAUAUAACCUCAGUGCUCAGAAGAAUUUGUGCCUUUACUUUGACUUUCAUCAUGUGAUCUAAAAGCUCCUUGAUGGGAGUAUCAAGAUACCAGGAAAAAAGAAUCAAAAUUUGACAUUCUUCUGUAAACUUCAAUGCAGAAAGUAGCAGAUGGCUUGGGGAGGUCUAGUCCAAUUCACGUGAGACUGGAAAGGUGCUGUCUCUGGCUUGGAGCUGUCAGCUUCAGGCAAGUUCAGGCACUGACACCUUGAGCCUUGAUCCUUGGUGAAACCUAGCACCCAUAAACCCCACUAUGCUCGUGGUAUCCUCAGAGGAACAGGCAGCCAGAGCUUAGAAAUAUGUUUCAAUCAUUUAAUGAGUUUGAAACACUCUUGAAAAAAGCCCUUGCUAUUAGGCUCAAAUCAUAACAGUUAUGAAAAUGAAUACAAGUUUCUUUACACUAACCUCAGAUCUGUCCAACCAAAAAAAAAAAAUACUGCUGCUUUUAAUCUAAAGUGAAUAAUUAAUGUUUUAGUUUAAGGAAUUAAAAGAGUAUAGAUCAUUAUCUACUUUUAUCCAUAUAAGUAUUAUACAUUUAAAGGGGGUGGUAGCAAAAAAAAAAAAAGUUGUUUAGGGAGAGUUUAUUCCUCUGGUUCGACUUUUUUUUAAUGACUUCAUUGAAAGUGUCAACAUUUCUGGUAUCAGGAAGUGCAAUUGUAAAGUAACAAAGUGGAGAUAAAUUGAGAUGUAAAAGAAUGCUACUUGGUAAGAAGCAUUAGGUCAAAGGUCUGAUCUAUUUGAAUGGCAAACUGCUGCACGUGUUUUCAUCCAGUAUCUCAGGAUCAAUUUACUUGCAUUCUGUUUUGAUGCAUCUAGACUUCGACAUACCCAAGAGAUGCAUCUUAUUAUACAAAGCUGAAAAGGAAUUAGGAGUCAUACAGUUAUUACUAUCGGGGUCCUGAAUCUGCCUCUGGGAGGUUGAUGCUUAGCAUAGAUGGAACCCAGAUAUGUUUUUCUAGGUGUAUAUGGCAACCUGCUGAUUGCUGUCUCACCAGAAUAAACUCUAAACCUUUCCAGCUGUUCUUAAUCUGGACCCUUAACCUUUAGAAAAACCAGAGGCUUUCCAUUCCUCAGAGCCAAACUUUGCUAACAAUAUCUAGGUUGUUUUCAAACUAAGCUUCAAACAUAAAAAUGACUAAUAAAUCCAUUUUCCAUAAUAGUUAGGCUGGAAAACUAUUAUUUAAUAACAGACUCAGUUUUUACGACCCAUUUCUAAUAAAAAUCCCAAGUAUGCUUCACUAAUGCUACCAUUUCAGAUACUCAGAUCCUGGAUGAUAGACAGGAGAUCCAGAUAGAUACACCAAUAAAUAUGUAAAGGCUAUAAAUCUGUCUCAAAUUAGUGAUUUGUGGAUGCGUGAGGGGGAAGAGAGCUGGGAAAUUCUGUUUUCUAAUCUGUUCACUUCCUGAGUCUUAAUGUCCUGUAACUUCACAGCUGCUGAUUGUAUUUUUCUGUGGCUUGUAUUAUUAAGUGCUAAAUACAUUACUCCAUGCUCUUCGGUGGGACCUGGGGCUUUGCACAGGCUUUUAGUCUGCACCUGA
Molecule: long non-coding RNA, 9749 nt
Organism: Myiozetetes cayanensis
Lineage: Eukaryota; Metazoa; Chordata; Aves; Passeriformes; Tyrannidae
Exons: 9
Source: RefSeq, a predicted model, not a curated record